This 467-nucleotide ribosomal RNA is filed under the name uncultured bacterium. RNAcentral's name for it is "partial 16S ribosomal RNA". It matches the Rfam family "Bacterial small subunit ribosomal RNA", at positions 28 to 507 of the family's 1533-position model. The record is from RNAcentral.
GACGAACGCUGGCGGCGUGCUUAACACAUGCAAGUCGAACGGAAAGGCCCUGCUUUUUGGGGGUCCCCGGUGGCCGACGGGUGAAUAACCCUUGAAUCACCCGCCCUUUGCUUUGGGGUCACUUCAAGGAACCGGGGCUAAUGCCGGAUAGGGGCUCCUGCUUCCUUGGGGGGGGUGGGAAAUUUCGGCUGGUGGGUAUGGGCUGGCGGCUUAUCAGCUUGGUGGGGGGGUGGUGGCUUACCAAGGGUUUGUCGGGUAGCCGGCCUGAGAGGGUGACCGGCCACAGUAGGACUGAGAUACGGCCCAGACUCCUACGGGAGGCAGCAGUGGGGAAUAUUGCACAAUGGGCGGAAGCCUGAUGCAGCAACGCCGCGUGCGGGAUGACGGCCUUCGGGUUGUAAACCGCUUUCGCCUGUGACGAAGCGUGAGUGACGGUAAUGGGUAAAGAAGCACCGGCUAACUACGUG